AAUGAACGCUGGUGGCAGACCUAACACAUGCAAGUCGAACGGUCUAUAUUAAACUUCGGUUUUUUAUAGAUAGUGGCAAACGGGUGAGUAAAGCAUGGGAAUCUACCUAGAAGUUUGGAAUAGCUAUUAGAAAUGAUAGAUAAUACCAAAUACACCUCGAGAGGGAAAGUUGACUUCGGUCUUCGCUUUUAGAUGAGCCCAUGUUAAAUUAGUUAGUUGGUAGGGUAAUGGCCUACCAAGAUGAUGAUUUAUAGCUGGUCUUAGAGGAUGAUCAGCCACACUGGAAUUGAGAUACGGUCCAGACUCCUACGGAAGGCAGCAGUGAGGAAUAUUGGACAAUGGGCGAAAGCCUGAUCCAGCAAUACCGCGUGAGUGAUGAAGGCUUUAGGGUUGUAAAACUCUUUCAGUAGGGAUAAUAAUGAUGUUACCUACAGAAGAAGCACCGGCUAACUCCGUGCCAGCCGCCGCGGUAAU
This 474-nucleotide ribosomal RNA is filed under the name uncultured bacterium. RNAcentral's name for it is "bacterial SSU rRNA". It matches the Rfam family "Bacterial small subunit ribosomal RNA", at positions 29 to 524 of the family's 1533-position model. The record is from RNAcentral.